UACGUAGGGGGCAAGCGUUGUCCGGAAUCAUUGGGCGUAAAGCGCGUGUAGGCGGUUCGGUAAGUCGGCUGUGAAAGUCGGGGGCUCAACCCUCGGAUGCCGGUGGAUACUGUCGGGCUUGAGUACGGAAGAGGCGAGUGGAAUUCCUGGUGUAGCGGUGAAAUGCGCAGAUAUCAGGAGGAACACCAAUUGCGAAGGCAGCUCGCUGGGACGUUACUGACGCUGAGACGCGAAAGCGUGGGGAGCAAACAGG
Molecule: ribosomal RNA, 253 nt
Filed under: uncultured bacterium
Lineage: Bacteria
Description: partial 16S ribosomal RNA
Rfam family: Bacterial small subunit ribosomal RNA
Source: RNAcentral